RNAcentral lists this ribosomal RNA (482 nucleotides) under uncultured bacterium. Its description in RNAcentral is "partial 16S ribosomal RNA". It matches the Rfam family "Bacterial small subunit ribosomal RNA", at positions 30 to 507 of the family's 1533-position model. The record is from RNAcentral.
AUUGAACGCUGGCGGCAUGCUUUACACAUGCAAGUCGAACGGUAACAGCACUUCGGUGGCUGACGAGUGGCGAACGGGUGCGUAAUACAUCGGAACGUGCCUAGUAGUGGGGGAUAACUACUCGAAAGAGUAGCUAAUACCUCAUGAGAUCUAAGGAUGAAAGCAGGGGACCUUCGGGCCUUGCGCUACUAGAGCGGCUGAUGGCAGAUUAGGUAGUUGGUGGGAUAAAAGCUUACCAAGCCGACGAUCUGUAGCUGGUCUGAGAGGACGACCAGCCACACUGGGACUGAGACACGGCCCAGACUCCUACGGGAGGCAGCAGUGGGGAAUUUUGGACAAUGGGCGCAAGCCUGAUCCAGCAAUGCCGCGUGCAGGAUGAAGGCCUUCGGGUUGUAAACUGCUUUUGUACGGAACGAAAAGCCCUCUUCUAAUACAGGAGGGUCAUGAAGGUACCGUAAGAAUAAGCACCGGCUAACUACGUG